CUUGUGCAAUAGCCCAGAGAAAGCUGUUGGAUGACUGUGGUGGUGGUGAUCUUAUCGCUGAUCUGCAUAGUCAUCAGCCUGCUAGUGAUCUUCGAGGUGCUAUGGAACAGCUCCGCCGGUGACAUCACAAUACGAGAGCCCGGAGAGGUGACCAUCCACUUUGGCAAUCAGGAGGACAACGAUCAGGUGUUGGUCGUUCCACAACCGACGUAUGAAGUUGCGCCGAUGACAACGCCGAGAAAGGAACCGACCACCGCGCAGACUUCGCUGAUAACCGCAGCGCAGACUUCCACGGAAAUGAGAACCGAAGAAAUAACACCCAAGAACGUCAAAACACAGACGACAAAGAAAAUGACAACCGAAGAAAUAACAGCCAAGAUAGCCAAAACACAGACGACCAAGAAAACG
Long non-coding RNA from Dermacentor silvarum, 408 nucleotides. RefSeq lists it as uncharacterized. The record is from RefSeq and is a predicted model, not a curated record. The transcript is spliced from 3 exons. NCBI's taxonomy places the organism in Eukaryota, Metazoa, Arthropoda, Arachnida, Ixodida, Ixodidae.